RNAcentral lists this small nucleolar RNA (107 nucleotides) under Citrus sinensis (sweet orange). RNAcentral describes it as "Plant small nucleolar RNA R71". It matches the Rfam family "Plant small nucleolar RNA R71". From Rfam's summary of the family: R71 is a member of the C/D box family of snoRNAs containing the C (UGAUGA) and D (CUGA) box motifs. Multiple nearly identical copies of this snoRNA have been identified in Arabidopsis, and it is thought to function as a 2'-O-ribose methylation guide for 18S ribosomal RNA. Lineage: Eukaryota; Viridiplantae; Streptophyta; Magnoliopsida; Sapindales; Rutaceae. The record is from Rfam by way of RNAcentral.
AUACCAUGAUGAGGACACCUUCUGAGCAAUUAUUUGAAUCUUUCCCAAGCCUCGUACAGACUCUCAUCUUCAAGUUGAUGGAAUGAAGUAAUCUCAUUCCGCAACUU